AUGACAGCAGGAGGCCGUAAGUGGGGGAGGGAGGGAAGGACGGAGGGAGCGCGGAUCCCGGCUCUCCUGAUCGCAAACUCGGAGCCAGAGCUCUCCGCGCGCGCCCCAGCCGCUGGCCGCCCGCGCAGCCGGACGCGGAACCCCGGCGCAGCGGGAGCCUUGCAGGACGGGCGCGGGGCGGCGGCGGCGGCCGUCCAUGCGGCGGGCUCGGGGCUGCCCGGCGCCGGGAACCACGCGGGGGCCAGGCAAGGCUGCCACUGGCCGCACCGGGACUCGGACCGCCAGGAGGUGAACAUCACCCCCAUCUGCAGAAAAUUGGCAGCAUCUCUGAGGAGCCCUUGCUUUUUCCUGGGACACUCAGGAUCAUGGUUUCCUGUUUCAUGGAGUCCUUCAGGAACAAGACUUUGGGCCAGAUUGCCAGUGUUUUGAAGAGCUGCGGGCACAGCUAUGGACUACCAAUUAGAUAGGUAUGUGUGAGGAGGGUGGGGUGUCCUAAAGUGGAGUCUGCAGUGUAGGGGUGGGAAGCUUCCAGCC
This 534-nucleotide long non-coding RNA is filed under the name Capra hircus (goat). Its description in RNAcentral is "lncRNA (ENSCHIG00000001033.1)". Lineage: Eukaryota; Metazoa; Chordata; Mammalia; Artiodactyla; Bovidae. The record is from RNAcentral.